ACUUAGUUAGUAUAGUAGUACAUGUAAUUUCCAUUUAUAAGGUUAGUACUAAGUA
RNAcentral lists this transfer RNA (55 nucleotides) under Moniliformis sp. XH-2020. RNAcentral's name for it is "tRNA-Gly". Lineage: Eukaryota; Metazoa; Acanthocephala; Archiacanthocephala; Moniliformida; Moniliformidae. The record is from RNAcentral.